This 494-nucleotide long non-coding RNA is filed under the name Mus caroli (Ryukyu mouse). Its description in RNAcentral is "lncRNA (MGP_CAROLIEiJ_G0004341.1)". Lineage: Eukaryota; Metazoa; Chordata; Mammalia; Rodentia; Muridae. The record is from RNAcentral.
AAGGAACUGACUUUUUGGAGGCUGAGAUCUAGCAACAUCCCGGAACUGAUACAAAAUAAAUUAUUUAGGGGGCUACGAGAGGAGCAAUUUACAAAGUGAUAAAGGACCCCAAGUAUAUGACCAGCAAGCCCAAGGCUUCGGGGUUUCCCGGAGAGAGCCUGGGGGAUCUGCACUGAGUCUCUGAAGGACUACUAGGACAGACCUGACCAAAAGUCUCACUCACUGAGCUCUCCGACCACCCUGGGGUGUCCACACACGGUUCCUCCCAUGAGAGCAGCAACUUGUUCAGAGAGCUCUUCAUAUCACCUUGGGUUCUGGAAACCAAACAAGUCCUCUGCAAGAACAGCCAGUGCUCCUAACAGGAAUGGGUCAUUUUCAUGAGGCCACUGGCAGAUUCCUCUUCGGCCGUUGUAAUCAUGGGGCUGCUUUGCCUGUGGCUUCCUGCACUCAGAAGCACUCCACAUUGCACAGUCUCAAAACAGUUUCGCUUUCAA